GAUGAACGCUAGCGAUAGGCUUAACACAUGCAAGUCGAGGGGCAGCACAAGGUAGCUUGCUAUCUGGGUGGCGACCGGCGCACGGGUGCGUAACGCGUAUGCAACUUGCCCUAUACAGGAGGAUAACCCGUCGAAAGACGGACUAAUACUGCGUAUGCUCACAACUUGGCAUCAAGUGGUGAGGAAAGAAAUUCGGUAUAGGAUAGGCAUGCGUCCCAUUAGCUUGUUGGUGAGGUAACGGCCCACCAAGGCAACGAUGGGUAGGGGAACUGAGAGGUUUAUCCCCCACACUGGUACUGAGACACGGACCAGACUCCUACGGGAGGCAGCAGUGAGGAAUAUUGGUCAAUGGGCGCGAGCCUGAACCAGCCAAGUCGCGUGAAGGAUGACUGUCUUAUGGAUUGUAAACUUCUUUUAGACGGGAAUAACAAGAGUCACGUGUGACUCCCUGCAGGUACCGUAUGAAUAAGCAUCGGCUAACUCCGUG
Molecule: ribosomal RNA, 487 nt
Filed under: uncultured bacterium
Lineage: Bacteria
Description: partial 16S ribosomal RNA
Rfam family: Bacterial small subunit ribosomal RNA
Source: RNAcentral